RNAcentral lists this ribosomal RNA (458 nucleotides) under uncultured bacterium. RNAcentral describes it as "bacterial SSU rRNA". It matches the Rfam family "Bacterial small subunit ribosomal RNA", at positions 923 to 1379 of the family's 1533-position model. The record is from RNAcentral.
GCACAAGCGGUGGAGCAUGUGGUUUAAUUCGAUGCAACGCGAAGAACCUUACCUGGUCUUGACAUAGUAAGAACUUUCCAGAGAUGGAUUGGUGCCUUCGGGAACUUACAUACAGGUGCUGCAUGGCUGUCGUCAGCUCGUGUCGUGAGAUGUUGGGUUAAGUCCCGCAACGAGCGCAACCCUUGUCUUAUGUUGCCAGCACGUUAUGGUGGGGACUCGUGAGAGACUGCCGGGGUCAACUCGGAGGAAGGUGGGGAUGACGUCAAAUCAUCAUGCCCCUUAUGUCCAGGGCUUCACACAUGCUACAAUGGCCGGUACAGAGGGCUGCGAUGCCGUGAGGCGGAGCGAAUCUCUUAAAGCCGGUCUCAGUUCGGAUUGGGGUCUGCAACUCGACCCCAUGAAGUCGGAGUCGCUAGUAAUCGCAGAUCAGCAACGCUGCGGUGAAUACGUUCCCGGGC